Molecule: long non-coding RNA, 1035 nt
Organism: Lolium perenne
Lineage: Eukaryota; Viridiplantae; Streptophyta; Magnoliopsida; Poales; Poaceae
Source: RefSeq, a predicted model, not a curated record
CACAUGGGCGUAUACUUUUCUCCUACACCUUUUUGGCGUUCAACAGUGACCCGACUGCCGACAUGACGCACCUGGCAGAGAGAGAAGAGAGAGGCCCUGACGUUUCCACAGGCGAGAGCUGAAGGCGCGGCCUCCAACGCACGAGCACCAGCGGGAGCCAACCACAGGGGGACACCAUAGCUUUUGUCCUAGACCCGUUCCACGUGUCUGGUGCCGAGGAGGUCCGAUGUAGUCGGACGGCGCCCAAUUGGAGGGCCAAAUACAUUGGCGUGGGGCGGCCCUGCCGUGCCGUCGUCUUCUUCGUCCGCCCGCGGCCAUGCAGUGCAGAAUGUAAGAGCAUCACAUACACGGCGACCAGAGCGCGACGAUCAUGGCAGGGCGCGGCGGCUGGAGACCACGCGGCGCGAGCAUCCCCAUGCCGUCGUCGAGCAAGCAGAUAUGGGGCCAUUGCAGCGCCACGGUCACUAGCUGGCCGGAGGUUGAAUCGCGUCGGCGACCUUCGUCUGCAGCUCCAUCAGGCAGGCUUACUGAUGCUAUGGGAUAGGCUACACAAUUCUCAGACAAUUGUCAACAGAACCCACCUGUCACUGUCUUACGAUAAACAACUUUUAUCAACGGACAUCUGCUAUCUUGACCUCACAGGGCACUUCUUAUAUUAUUCGUGCCUACCGAACAAAGCAUCCUCAUAAGUCAUAACAAUUGCAUCAUUUCGGCACUGAGGUCAUUUACCAGUGUACGGCUUUGCUCCGUUCAUGGUCGCCAUUUCAGCGCUUGGAGGAUCGAGACCUCUUUACGGAGGUGUCUACACGGUUGGAGAAUACGGCCAAGAAGUUUAUUCCCAACAUGGCUGGAUGCAUAGUUGUAGGAUUGAAGCUAAUAAAGCUCUAGACUAGUUGGAUUUAUUCAUUUCGCUGUCACUUUCUUAUUGCUACAUGAUAGUCUGUCGAAUGGUUGUGUACAUCCUAGUUAUGCAGAGGCUGGAUGUAAUGCUUAAAUUUUUUUGAGUAAUAAAACGCCCAUUAUCGAGAGAAAAAA